RNAcentral lists this small nuclear RNA (23 nucleotides) under Arabidopsis thaliana (thale cress). RNAcentral's name for it is "snRNA_09524". The record is from RNAcentral. Lineage: Eukaryota; Viridiplantae; Streptophyta; Magnoliopsida; Brassicales; Brassicaceae.
CUAAGCUUACAAGUGCGGUCGCU